UUGCCCUUUUUCUGUGUCCCAGGAGUUAAUUUUACUUUGAACCUAAAGACAAAACAGAGCAGAUUUUCUUAACUCGUUUCACAUUAUUCUGCUAUUUUUACUAAACAGGGUUAUGUUUUUAUUGCUUUUGUGGAUUGGUAGAUUGGUGGAUCGGUAGGUUGUGCGUCGGUGGAUCAGUAGAUCGGCAGGUUGUGCGCCUGUGGAUCGGCAGGUCGGCAGGUUGUGCGCCUGUGGAUCGGUAGGUUGUGCGUCGGUGGAUCGGAAGGUUGUAUGACGGUAGGUUUGUGGAUCGGUAGGUUGUGCGUCUGUGGAUCAGUAGGUUGUAUGACGGUAGGUUUGUGGAUCGGUAGGUUGUGCGUCGGUGGAUCGGUAGGUUGUGCGCCGGUGGAUCGGUAGGUUGUGCGCCUGUGGAUCGGUAGGUUGUAUGUCGGUAAGUUUGUGGAUCGGUAGGUUGUGUGUCUGUGGAUCGGUAGGUUGUGCGCCUGUGGAUCAGUAGGUUGUAUGACGGUAGGUUUGUGGAUCGGUAGGUUGUGCGUCGGUGGAUCGGUAGGUUGUGCGCCGGUGGAUCGGUAGGUUGUGCGCCUGUGGAUCGGUAGGUUGUAUGUCGGUAAGUUUGUGGAUCGGUAGGUUGUGUGUCUGUGGAUCGGUAGGUUGUGUGUCUGUGGAUCGGUAGGUUGUAUGUCGGUAGGUUUGUGGAUCGGUAGGUUGUGCGUCUGUGGAUCGGUAGGUUGUAUGACGGUAGGUUUGUGGAUCGGUAGGUUGUGCGUCGGUGGAUCGGUAGGUUGUGCGUCGGUGGAUCGGUAGGUUGUGCGUCUGUGGAUCGGUAGGUUGUAUGACGGUAGGUUUGUGGAUCGGUAGGUUGUGCGUCUGUGGAUCGGUAGGUUGUAUGACGGUAGGUUUGUGGAUCGGUAGGUUGUGCGUCGGUGGAUCGGUAGGUUGUGCGUCUGUGGAUCGGUAGGUUUGUGGAUCGGUAGGUUGUGCGUCUGUGGAUCGGUAGGUUUGUGGAUCGGUAGGUUGUGCGUCUGUGGAUCGGUAGGUUUGUGGAUCGGUAGGUUGUGCGUCUGUGGAUCGGUAGGUUGUGUGUCGGUGGAUCGGUAGGUUGCGUGUUUGUGUAUGUUCUUGGUCUGAUCACAAUCAAAGAGUUAAAUGGGUGUAAAAUGUACUUGUAGUUGGACAGCGCCAUGUACGGAGCACACACUGGCACUGCGAACA
This is a long non-coding RNA of Myxocyprinus asiaticus (Chinese sucker), 1212 nucleotides long. RefSeq lists it as uncharacterized. The record is from RefSeq and is a predicted model, not a curated record. The transcript is spliced from 3 exons. NCBI's taxonomy places the organism in Eukaryota, Metazoa, Chordata, Actinopteri, Cypriniformes, Catostomidae.